Molecule: long non-coding RNA, 4001 nt
Filed under: Podarcis lilfordi (Lilford's wall lizard)
Lineage: Eukaryota; Metazoa; Chordata; Lepidosauria; Squamata; Lacertidae
Source: RNAcentral
GUGGGAACCACCAGAAGGCCCUUGGAGCUGGACCUCAGUGUCUGGGCUGAAUGAUGGGGGUGGAGACCCUUCUUCAGGCAUACUGGGCUGAUGCCAUUUAGGGCUUUAAAGGUCAGCAGCAACACUUUGAAUUGUGCUCACAAACGUACUGGGAGCCAAUGUAGGUCUAUCAGGACUAGAAAUAGAAUAAAGGUAAAGGUAAAGGGGCCCCUGACCAUUAGGUCCAGUCAUGGCUGACUCUGGGGUUGCGGCACUCAUCUCACUUUAUUGGCUGAGGGAGCCGGCGUACAGCUUCCGGGUCAUGUGGCCAGCAUGACUAAGCCGCUUCAGGCAAACCAGAGCAGUGCACGGAAACGCCGUUUACCUUCCUGCCAGAGGGGUACCUAUUUAUCUACUUGCACUUUGACGUGCUUUCGAACUCCUAGGUUGGCAGGAGCAGGGACCGAGCAACAGGAGCUCACCCCGUCAAGGGGAUUCGAAUCGCCGACCUUCUGAUCGGCAAAUCCUAGGCUCUGUGGUUUAACCCACAGCGCCACCCACGUCCCAUAUAUAGAAUACAAAUAGAAUACAACUCAUCUAAGUGAGGAAGACGGGGACUAGGAAACCCAUUGGUCUGGUGUCAAGGUGCUAAUGGUUGAUACAGUGGCGUAGCGUGGGGAGUGCAGGGGGGGCCGGCCGCACCGGGCGCAACAUCUGGGGGGGCGCGCUCGCACUCGCAGCUCUCUGCCCCUACCUGGCUCACUCUCUCUCUCUCACUGCAGUGCUGGCUGUGCGAAUCCGAUCCGAGCCGCUGGGUCGCCGCCCACUGUGGAGGGGGUGGGUGCCAGGCGUGCGGUGCGGAGAGAGAGCGAGGGACUAUCUGGGGGAGGGACAGUGCAGCGGCCGCCCAGCGCAGCGCUGAGCGCGGGAGAGAACCACACCAGACCAGACCAGGCAGCAGCAAGAAGAAGCUGGCAGCGGCGGCAGGUUAGGGGUUGGGGGGCGCAAAUUACUUGCCUUGCCCCGGGUGCUGAUAGGCAAGUUGAUGCCUUCUUUAAACUUGAUAGCUCUCUAAUCCUUUAAACAGAGGACUGUCCACUGUAAGGUAGGCCACACGACUUCCCCAGCCAUGCCUAAGUUGGUGGAGAGGCAACAAGAAAAGUCUCAAAAAAUAUUUUCACUGAUUUUAAUAUAUUAUUAUAUUGUAAUCUGCCCUGGGAUCUUAUGGUGAAGGGUGGUUAAGAAAUUCUAUGAACCAGCCAACCAAAGACCUGGGAAGGGGUGAUACAGAAUUGAUUCCUGAGUUUGAAUGAAUCAGCAAGAUUCAGCCGCUCCCUUUCCAUGUGUGAGAGGGAAAUAUUUUGCUUCUGUAUUGUGGCUGGGAGGGAAAGCAUUCCAUGCCUUCCAUGGGCAGUGGCCUGGAUGCUGAGACCAAGGCACAGCUCCAAGUCACUGGCUGCGAGCUCAUGUUCCAGGCCACCAGGAUCCUGCUGAGGCUCUGUGUUUUUAUUGCAGCUUCUCCCUCCUGCCUGGUGAACUCAACUAGCUCCUCUGCUUGCUCCCCUCAGAAGCUGGCUCGUGCUCUGCUGCCAUGUUGGCCAAGGUGUGGCUGAAGAAGAUGGAGCAGCUGUUGGUGGAUGGCCUGCAGCACAGAAAGAGCAUCCUGAGCAUGGAGUGGCUGCUGGACCUCCUGGUCAGCCUCUACAAAGAGUGCAGUUGCAACUCAUUGCUGAAGAGGGAAGACUCGUCUCUCCUUCAUCCAGUGGGAACGGACCUAUUGAUUAUUGACAGCAAUGUGGGUGAGUUCCUCAGCAACAGUGCCUGAGCAGGCUACCUGGAGUUCACCUUCCGACUGGUGUGAGAGCCUCACUAUCUCCAUCAUGGCCCACAACCUGAGGACCCCAGCUGGUGCAGCUGGGUUAACAACAGGCAUUAUGUGUAUUUUAUGUGUAUUUUAAUGAACUGAAUAAAGUUCAGUUCAGAUCAUGGGGGCAUGGAGAGUGAACUUAACAGUUAAUAUAAACUUAAAAGCUUCCUUUUUUUUUAGUUGCUAUUUUAUUAAUGUUGUUAAUAUUGUUUUAUGGAUUAUAAAUGCCCUACUGAUUUGUUAAUGAUAUAAUAUGACUUUGCUGUAAUUGUGGUGUAUUUUUUAGUUGCUGCUGUUAAUAGUGUUUUAUAGAUUGUAAUUGUUUUAUUGAUGAUUUGUUAAUUAUUUUAUAUGAUUUAUGCUGUAUUUGUGAUGUUCUAUUAUGUUAUUUUUAUUUAUUGUUUCUAAGUCACUUUGAGAUUCCUUUGAAUGAAAAGCGACAUAGAAAUACAAUAAAUCAAAUAAAAUAUUUGAAGUUGUUGAACAAUUUUUGAAAAAUAUGAUAGAAAUGCUGUUUUAAGAUCUGAAGGGCUAUCAUGUUUUGUGAUAAGGCCUACUUAAUGAAAUACUUCUUUUCAAAAGAGAAAGAUUUUGGGACACUGCCACCACAUGUGGAUAAAUAAGUAUUCAUUGUUGAAAGUUUUUAUGCCACUCUAUGUAUUUUCUGUCAUGCUGAAACUUAACAGUCUAAAAUAAGUGUAAUGAUCGGUAUCUGCUUUCUAAAAUUAAUAAACAUUUCCCUCCACACUUACUUGUGGUUUUUAAAACUCAGUUAUUGUACAUUGGGUUUUAAAAGUUAUAUGCUCAUAGCAUAUGAAAAAUACCAAGACUUAAGAAUAUAUUUACUUUACCACCAGUUGCUUAUUAACCUAGUCCUCUGGGCAAUGUGCAACAAUGCUACAAAAUUAAAACACAGAUCUGAUAAUAAAAUAAAAUAAAAUACAAUAAAAUAAAAUAAAUGAGGAAAAAAAUCCCCCUAUACAUCAUUGUGAAAUUCCAGCCUGAUAAUGUAAAUGCAUUUGUUUUGAAAAAUGCCAUUUCCUCAUAUGACACACCUUUUUUUUUAUUUUAGCUGAUACUUACGGAGUAACCCUAGUCCCCCAGAAGGAGCAGAUGGCAUGACAUGCUGUCUUUGCUGACUUCUGACUGGUGACAUCAGUGCUGCUUACUGGGAGGUAGAGGUGGAGGGGUGAGGUGGUAGCAAGGUCAGUGCAGUGCAAAUACAAUGGCUGAGUCAAUCCAGUACUCCCGGUGGGGCAUUUGUACUGUGCUGACCUCCUCAUCACCUUGUCUCUGCUCCUCUACCUCUGGGGAGCAGUGGCAACACAGGUGAGUGUGUCGUCACUUCUUGCCACCUGCAGGUGGCUUCCGAGUAGGGGCAGCUGGAUCAUGUACACCUCCCUCUCCACGCGUAGAGAAAAAGACCUCCACCCACAAGGCCUCCUUGCUGAUGUGGUGAGAAUCUCAGCUGCCACCACUCCUCUGUCAGAGGAUGGUGCUCCAGAGAUGGUAGGGUCUGAAAAGGAGCAUGUUCUUGGCAAAUUGGGGGAGGCCUUGAAUCUGUGGGAUCCAAAGAUCUCCCAUUCCCCUGCCAUGCUCUGGCAGGGAUACAAACUAUACUGGCCCUUGAGCUGACAUAGUUUUUUCCCAUUCCACUGAAACCAACAGGAUGUUUUUUGUUUGUUUUUUAAAGGUUCAAUUGAGAAAGAAAAGAACCAAAAAGGUAAAAAGCCACAUUUCUACCUGGGUCAGGGUAAGCCCAAGAGGGCUUAGGAAGUGACAGUUCCUCUGCCAUGGAGUCUUCCCACUAACAUCUCAGUAGGGUUGGCCUGUCAGUGUAAAACUCUAUGAUCCUAGGGAUUCUAGGGAGUAAACCCGCCUGGAUUCAGUGGUGCUUACUUCUAAGUAAACACGCUGAGGACUGCAUGCAAAAUAACCAGAUCUUUAUAAAUGACAGCGAUAGCAUUUAGGAUAGUGCAUAAUGAUGCUCAUUGUGAUUGUUGGUGUAUUCCCGGAACGCCAGAAUAUUUUGUAUUAAUUUAAAAAUUCAUCAAAAGUCCUCUCCAUGUCAAGGUGAUGCAGCAACCACCGACAAAAGAAGAAGGCCACAUUUCUGCCUUUUCUGCCAAUUAUUGCUUGUUGUCAUUGGGAAAUG